UACGUAGGGAGCAAGCGUUGUCCGGAUUCACUGGGUGUAAAGGGUGCGCAGGCGGGAGAGUAAGUCAGAGGUGAAAUCUCACAGCUUAACUGUGAAACUGCCUUUGAUACUGCUUUUCUUGAGUUCGGGAGAGGUUGAUGGAAUUCCAGGUGUAGCGGUGAAAUGCGUAGAUAUCUGGAGGAACACCGGUGGCGAAGGCGGCAUCCUGGACCAAUACUGACACUGAGGAGCGAAAGCCAGGGGAGCAAACGGG
RNAcentral lists this ribosomal RNA (253 nucleotides) under uncultured bacterium. Its description in RNAcentral is "partial 16S ribosomal RNA". It matches the Rfam family "Bacterial small subunit ribosomal RNA", at positions 524 to 776 of the family's 1533-position model. The record is from RNAcentral.